Limulus polyphemus (Atlantic horseshoe crab) is the source of this 1453-nucleotide long non-coding RNA. RefSeq lists it as uncharacterized. The transcript is spliced from 2 exons. Lineage: Eukaryota; Metazoa; Arthropoda; Merostomata; Xiphosura; Limulidae. The record is from RefSeq and is a predicted model, not a curated record.
AAAAUUAGUUUUAGUUACUGUAGUAAUGAUGUAAUUUUACCAUACUGUAGUCCUACUCACUGUAGUUGUAAGUUAUCAUAGUGGUAAUACCAGAUGGAGCAGAGUGGAAGUGAAGUAUUAGUAAGGUAGGCAACAAUGUGUAAAACUGGUGUUAAUUUUCAAUAAUGUCCUGAAUGAUAAAACAGGGUAAAAGAGUUUGACUGAAGAUAUGAAAUCUUGGUGUAUAAAACUUAGAAGUAAUAUUUACCUAUCAUUUAUGUUUUGAAUCUGCUUUAGUAACCUUAAAACUUUUGAAAUUAAACGUUUAGAAUCUGUUUUCUGUUCGUAUAAUGAUAAGAAGGAAAUUUUGUUGGUAACUUAAUAUUUAAUAUCAAAUUUAACAAGUUCCCAAAUUUUGCAUUUGUUUUUUUAAGGUAGUACAUUCAAGUUAUUUUCUUUCUUUAAAAUAAUCACAAUUUUAAUGUAUUCCUUUAACUAUUCUAGCUCUAAUUCACAGUUCAAAUUAAUGUUCUAGAUACAGGCUUAUUAGAUUUUUACGUGCAAUAUCUUAUGAAGUCAGAAAUAACAGUAAUAUCUAUCAAUUCUGUUACUAUGAUUUUAUCUAACUACUUCAAAUUUUUGUUGCUUUUACAAAUAUAUUUAUCAUCUAUACUGCAACCGAUUAAAUAGAUACAUCACUGUUGUUUAUUUUGUCGUCAUCUAUAAUACAUUGUAAGACAACUAGUUUAACAUGAAAGAUUGGAAAUUUAGGUUCUUGGAAAAGUUAAGGAGUGAAGUAGUUUUACUUUUUUCACCAAAACCUUUUGAACAGUUUGGAGUUUUCUGUUUUUUUUUACUUCUACAUAUAUUAAAGUAAUUGACUUUUUUAUAUCAUUUAAAUAUUAGGUAAAUAGCUUGAGUUUUUUUUUCAAAACAUGUCUUUUCAUUUUGUAAUAGCGUGAUGUGUUUAACUUACUUCUUAUACAUGCUGCUCUGAAGUCUGCCAACAGGUACCAUCACUCCCUUGCCCAGAGUCUUUUGUAUGAACGAAAAGCUUUGAAAGAAGCAUCUGGAAUAACAGAUCGUCUCAUGGCAAGAGCUUUAGCCUCCCAUAAGGCAUGAGUUCCAUUUAAACAGCAGAUAUCUAUUUACUGUUCACAACUUUUGAAUUUAUUUUUAAAAAAUAUGAGUUUUUGAGAAUUUUUAGAAUAAAACUAUUUUUGAUCUAUAUCUUUUAAUAAUGUUUUUACAAACAAAUAUAUUUGUAAUUUUAUAAAGUUGAAGUUUGUCUUAUCAGUUUCUUUAUGUCAGUAAAUUUUAUCCCUCAAGGUACUCUACAGCUACUUCCAAGCAUAAUUGAAACAUUCAAUUUGUAAACUCAUUAGAUUUCUUUAGUUUGUAUUGUGUUUUAGUAUUUAUAAUGCAUAAUAGUAUGAUUUGUACAUUUUGAUAAUAAAGACAGAAAAAAAUAGUU